GCCAGGUGUGGUGGUGCAUGCCUGUAGUCCCAGCUACUUGGGAGACUGAGACAGGAGGACUGCUUGAGCCCAGGAGUUGGAGGCUGCAGUGAGCUGUGAUUGCACCAUUGCAUCCCAGCCUGGGCAACAAAGUGAGACCCUGUCUCUU
RNAcentral lists this small RNA (148 nucleotides) under Macaca fascicularis (crab-eating macaque). RNAcentral describes it as "Metazoan signal recognition particle RNA (ENSMFAG00000053704.1)". Lineage: Eukaryota; Metazoa; Chordata; Mammalia; Primates; Cercopithecidae. The record is from Rfam by way of RNAcentral.